UGGGGAAUAUUGGACAAUGGGGGGAACCCUGAUCCAGCCAUGCCGCGUGUGUGAAGAAGGCCUUAUGGUUGUAAAGCACUUUAAGCGAGGAGGAGGGUACUGGUAUUAAUACUACCAGGUACUGGACGUUACUCGCAGAAUAAGCACCGGCUAACUCUGUGCCAGCAGCCGCGGUAAUACAGAGGGUGCAAGCGUUAAUCGGAAUUACUGGGCGUAAAGCGCGCGUAGGUGGUUCGUUAAGUUGAAUGUGAAAGCCCCGGGCUCAACCUGGGAACUGCAUACAAAACUGGCGAGCUAGAGUAGGGCAGAGGGUGGUGGAAUUUCCUGUGUAGCGGUGAAAUGCGUAGAUAUAGGAAGGAACACCAGUGGCGAAGGCGACCACCUGGGCUCAUACUGACACUGAGGUGCGAAAGCGUGGGGAGCAAACAGG
This 430-nucleotide ribosomal RNA is filed under the name Pseudomonadota bacterium. RNAcentral describes it as "Proteobacteria bacterium partial 16S ribosomal RNA". It matches the Rfam family "Bacterial small subunit ribosomal RNA", at positions 355 to 776 of the family's 1533-position model. The record is from RNAcentral. Lineage: Bacteria; Pseudomonadati; Pseudomonadota.